GCGGAGGAAAAGAAACCAACAGGGAUUGCCCUAGUAACGGCGAGUGAAGCGGCAACAGCUCAAAUUUGAAAUCUGGCUCUCUUUGGGGUCCGAGUUGUAAUUUGCAGAGGAUGCUUUGGCAUUGGCGGCGGUCUAAGUUCCUUGGAACAGGACAUCACAGAGGGUGAGAAUCCCGUACGUGGUCGCCUGCCUUUGCCGUGUAAAGCUCCUUCGACGAGUCGAGUUGUUUGGGAAUGCAGCUCUAAAUGGGAGGUAAAUUUCUUCUAAAGCUAAAUACCGGCCAGAGACCGAUAGCGCACAAGUAGAGUGAUCGAAAGAUGAAAAGUACUUUGGAAAGAGAGUCAAAAAGCACGUGAAAUUGUUGAAAGGGAAGCGCUUGCAGCCAGACUUGCCCGCAGUUGCUCACCUAGGCUUUGGCCUGGGGCACUCUUCUGCGGGCAGGCCAGCAUCAGUUUGGGCGGUUGGAUAAAGGCCUCUGUCACGUAUCUUCCUUCGGGAUGACCUUAUAGGGGAGGCGUAAUGCAACCAGCCCGGACUGAGGUCCGCGCAUCUGCUAGGAUGCUGGCGUAAUGGCUGUAAGCGGCCCGUCUUGAAACACGGACCAAGGAGUCUAACAUCUAUGCGAGUGUUUGGGUGUCAAGCCCGGGCGCGCAAUGAAAGUGAACGGAGGUGGGAACCCUUUGGGUGCACCAUCGACCGAUCCUGAUGUCUUCGGAUGGAUUUGAGUAAGAGCAUAGCUGUUGGGACCCGAAAGAUGGUGAACUAUGCUUGAAUAGGGUGAAGCCAGAGGAAACUCUGGUGGAGGCUCGCAGCGGUUCUGACGUGCAAAUCGAUCGUCA
This 839-nucleotide small RNA is filed under the name Paraconiothyrium brasiliense. RNAcentral's name for it is "eukaryotic LSU rRNA". It matches the Rfam family "Eukaryotic large subunit ribosomal RNA", at positions 50 to 907 of the family's 3401-position model. Lineage: Eukaryota; Fungi; Ascomycota; Dothideomycetes; Pleosporales; Didymosphaeriaceae. The record is from RNAcentral.